AGGUCUUGACAUCCCAUUGACCGCUAUGGAGACAUAGUUUUCCCUUCGGGGACAAUGGUGACAGGUGGUGCAUGGUUGUCGUCAGCUCGUGUCGUGAGAUGUUGGGUUAAGUCCCGCAACGAGCGCAACCCUUGUUCUUAGUUGCCAUCAUUUAGUUGGGCACUCUAAGGAGACUGCCGGUGACAAACCGGAGGAAGGUGGGGAUGACGUCAAAUCAUCAUGCCCCUUAUGACCUGGGCUACACACGUGCUACAAUGGACGGUACAAACGGUUGCCAACCCGCGAGGGGGAGCUAAUCCGAUAAAACCGUUCUCAGUUCGGAUUGUAGGCUGCAACUCGCCUACAUGAAGCCGGAAUCGCUAGUAAUCGUGGAUCAGCAUGCCACGGUGAAUACGUUCCCGGGCC
This 405-nucleotide ribosomal RNA is filed under the name uncultured bacterium. RNAcentral's name for it is "bacterial SSU rRNA". It matches the Rfam family "Bacterial small subunit ribosomal RNA", at positions 976 to 1380 of the family's 1533-position model. The record is from RNAcentral.